Molecule: unclassified non-coding RNA, 221 nt
Filed under: Glomeraceae sp.
Lineage: Eukaryota; Fungi; Glomeromycota; Glomeromycetes; Glomerales; Glomeraceae
Description: partial contains 5.8S ribosomal RNA and internal transcribed spacer 2
Rfam family: 5.8S ribosomal RNA (bases 1-71)
Source: RNAcentral
GUGAAUCAUCAAAUUUUUGAACGCAAAUUGCACUCUCUGGUAUUCCGGAGAGUAUGCCUGUUUGAGGGUCAGUUUAAAUAAAAAUGGGUUUGGUGGCUGCCUUUCGGGGUGACGCACGGGAUUGGGGUGGUCUGGCUUUGGGUUAAGUGACCUAAAAUUUGGCAUGAUUUUUUUUCAACCGUAUUUAAAUGAUUUUAGUUAGUUUGCGGAUAUAAAAUAUA